This 253-nucleotide ribosomal RNA is filed under the name uncultured bacterium. RNAcentral describes it as "partial 16S ribosomal RNA". It matches the Rfam family "Bacterial small subunit ribosomal RNA", at positions 524 to 776 of the family's 1533-position model. The record is from RNAcentral.
UACGGAGGGUGCAAGCGUUAUCCGGAUUCACUGGGUUUAAAGGGUGCGUAGGUGGGUUGGUAAGUCAGUGGUGAAAUCCCCGAGCUUAACUUGGGAACUGCCAUUGAUACUAUCAGUCUUGAAUACUGUGGAGGUCAGCGGAAUAUGUCAUGUAGCGGUGAAAUGCUUAGAUAUGACAUAGAACACCAAUUGCGAAGGCAGCUGGCUACACAAAUAUUGACACUCAGGCACGAAAGCGUGGGGAUCAAACAGG